GACGAACGCUGGCGGCGUGCUUAACACAUGCAAGUCGAACGGAAAGGCCCUGCUUUUGUGGGGUGCUCGAGUAGCGAACGGGUGAGUAACACGUGAGUAACCUGCCCUUGACUUUGGGAUAACUUCAGGAAACUGGGGCUAAUACCGGAUAGGAGCUCCUGCUGCAUGGUGGGGGUUGGAAAGUUUCGGCGGUUGGGGAUGGACUCGCGGCUUAUCAGCUUGUUGGUGGGGUAGUGGCUUACCAAGGCUUUGACGGGUAGCCGGCCUGAGAGGGUGACCGGCCACAUUGGGACUGAGAUACGGCCCAGACUCCUACGGGAGGCAGCAGUGGGGAAUAUUGCACAAUGGGCGGGAGCCUGAUGCAGCAACGCCGCGUGCGGGAUGACGGCCUUCGGGUUGUAAACCGCUUUCGCCUGUGACGAAGCGUGAGUGACGGUAAUGGGUAAAGAAGCACCGGCUAACUACGUG
Molecule: ribosomal RNA, 468 nt
Filed under: uncultured bacterium
Lineage: Bacteria
Description: partial 16S ribosomal RNA
Rfam family: Bacterial small subunit ribosomal RNA
Source: RNAcentral